This 937-nucleotide long non-coding RNA is filed under the name Pongo abelii (Sumatran orangutan). Its description in RNAcentral is "lincRNA". The stretch from base 1 to 160 matches the Rfam family "Pvt1 oncogene conserved region 1", at positions 19 to 178 of the family's 178-position model. The record is from RNAcentral. Lineage: Eukaryota; Metazoa; Chordata; Mammalia; Primates; Hominidae.
GGGCCGGGCGGGCUCGGGGCGGCCGGGACGAGGAGGGGCGACGAGGAGCUGCGAGCAAAGAUGUGCCCCGGAACCCCCGGCACCUUCCAGUGGAUUUCCUUGCGGAAAGGAUGUUGGCGGUCCCUCUGACCUGUGGAGACACGGCCAGAUCUGCCCUCCAGCGGGAAGUGAGUGAUGACCUGAAGUGAGGGCUCAUCUCUAGAUCUCCAAGGGCUGCAGCUCAGCCAGCACUUUACAACGGUGAUCUGGAGCCAACCUGGCCUAUUGGCUGACUAUAGGCAACUCUGGGUAGCCCAUACCCAGGCUCAGCGGCAGUUGGGGAGCUGCCUCGAUUUCUGGUUACAGAAUUCCUGGGACUGAGUCACUGCAGUAAUUGCUGUGAUGAAUUGUGUUUACUUUGUGUGGGAUUCCAAAUUGUAGCAGCAGUGACUGCAGCUGGAAGACAGCAUGAUCAGCAGCUUCCAAGGCAGAGCCUGGCGUCAGAAAGCUGCAUUGCGCUAGUGCUGAAGCCUGUGGGAGCCUAUUAGAGAGACACUUGGAUGUUUAGCGAGCUGGUGACUCUCCUUGUCAUGAGCCUGAUCUUUUGGCCAGAAGGAGAUUAAAAGGAUGCCCCUCAAGAUGGCUGUGCCUGUCAGCUGCAUGGAGCUUCGUUCAAGUAUUUUCUGAGCCUGAUGGAUUUACAGUGAUCUUCAGUGGUUUGGGGAAUAACGCUGGUGGAACCAUGCACUGGAAUGACACACGUCCGGCACAUUUCAGGAUACUAAAAGUGGUUUUAAAGGAGGCCCUGGCUGAAUGCCUCAUGGAUUCUUACAGCUUGGAUGUCCAUGGGGGACGAAGGACCGCAGCUGGCUGUGAGGGUUGAGAUCUCUGUUUACUUAGAUCUCUGCCAACUUCCUUUGGGUCUCCCUAUGGAAUAUAAGACCCCGACUCUUCCUGG